Molecule: long non-coding RNA, 341 nt
Filed under: Carica papaya (papaya)
Lineage: Eukaryota; Viridiplantae; Streptophyta; Magnoliopsida; Brassicales; Caricaceae
Description: long non-coding RNA (CPAP_LNC016150)
Source: RNAcentral
CCGCCGUGCUCCAACGAUGGCACUACCGCCCGUGGCGGCGAUCCGCCUCGAGUUGGCUGUUUUCGGCCAUUUUUGGCCGAAUUCGGCCAAACUUGCAUUGGUUCCUGCGAUAAAACAACCCUAGGGCCCUCGGUGGGCCAAAAAAUCACGAAAAAUCGAGACUUACCGGCAGCGGAGCUCUCGGGUGCGGCGGCUUCUCCGGCGCGAGUCGCGGUUUGAUGUUUUGCUCCGGUCAACAUGUAGAGAAAAGGACGAUAAUCACAGUGGUGUAAAAAUUAGAUCGAACGGGAACCGGAAAGGGCCUCAUCGGAGGCAAAAAUUGAGGGAAGCCGCGGCGGCGC